This 932-nucleotide ribosomal RNA is filed under the name uncultured bacterium. Its description in RNAcentral is "bacterial SSU rRNA". It matches the Rfam family "Bacterial small subunit ribosomal RNA", at positions 8 to 916 of the family's 1533-position model. The record is from RNAcentral.
AGAGUUUGAUCCUGGCUCAGAACGANCGNUGGCGGCGUGAUAAGACAUGCAGUGGGACGCUAAUCAAGGGUAGCAAUAUUCGUUGGUUGGAGUCGCGUAAGGGUGCGUAACACGUGGGUAAUUUGCCGUGAAGCUUGGAAUAACUUGCCGAAAGGUAAGCUAAUACCGAAUGUGACUUGUGCUGGGCAUCCAGUAUCAGUCAAAGCCGGGGAUCGUAAGACCUGGCACUUCAUGAUAAGCCCGCGGCCUAUCAGCUAGUUGGUGAGGUAACGGCUCACCAAGGCUAAGACGGGUAGCUGGUCUUAGAGGACGACCAGCCACACUGGAACUGAGACACGGUCCAGACACCUACGGGUGGCAGCAGUCGAGAAUUUUUCACAAUGGGCGAAAGCCUGAUGGAGCGACGCCGCGUGGGGGAUGAAUGGCUUCGGCCCGUAAACCCCUGUCAUUCGGGAUCAAAUCUGAUAACCUAACACGUUAUCAGUUGAUAGUACUGAAAGAGGAAGGGACGGCUAACUCUGUGCCAGCAGCCGCGGUAAUACAGAGGUCCCAAGCGUUGUUCGGAUUUACUGGGCGUAAAGGAGCGUAGGUGGCAUUCUAAGUCUGAUGUGAAAGCUCUGAGCUUAACUCAGAAAUGGCAUUAGAAACUAGUUUGCUUGAGGAUUGGAGGGGAGAUUGGAAUUCUUGGUGUAGCAGUGAAAUGCGUASAUAUCAAGAGGAACACCAGUGGCGAAGGCGAAUCUCUGGACAAUUCCUGACACUGAUGCUCGAAAGCCUAUGGGACAAACGGGAUUAGAUACCCCGGUAGUCCUAGCUGUAAACGGUGCACGCUUGCUGUAGGUGGAAUCGACCCCGCCUGUAGCGAAGCUAACGCGUUAAGCGUGCCGCCUGGGAAGUACGGCCGCAAGGUUAAAACUCAAAGGAAUUGACGG